Molecule: ribosomal RNA, 794 nt
Filed under: uncultured bacterium
Lineage: Bacteria
Description: bacterial SSU rRNA
Rfam family: Bacterial small subunit ribosomal RNA
Source: RNAcentral
AGAGUUUGAUCCUGGCUCAGGAUGAACGCUAGCGGGAGGCUUAACACAUGCAAGUCGAGGGGCAGCACGGGGUAGCAAUAUCCUGGUGGCGACCGGCGCACGGGUGAGUAACGCGUAUGCAACCUACCCUGUACAGGGGGAUAGCCCGGAGAAAUUCGGAUUAAUACCCCAUAAAGAUAUUGAGAGGCAUCUUUUAAUAUUUAAAGAUUUAUCGGUACGGGAUGGGCAUGCGUAACAUUAGCUAGUUGGUAGGGUAACGGCCUACCAAGGCAACGAUGUUUAGGGGUCCUGAGAGGGUGAUCCCCCACACUGGUACUGAGACACGGACCAGACUCCUACGGGAGGCAGCAGUGAGGAAUAUUGGUCAAUGGGCGUAAGCCUGAACCAGCCAUCCCGCGUGCAGGAAGACGGCGCUAUGCGUUGUAAACUGCUUUUCCAGGGGAAGAAAACUCUCGUCGUGACGAGACUUGCCGGUACCUUGGGAAUAAGCAUCGGCUAACUCCGUGCCAGCAGCCGCGGUAAUACGGAGGAUGCGAGCGUUAUCCGGAUUUAUUGGGUUUAAAGGGUGCGUAGGCGGAUUAAUAAGUCAGUGGUGAAAACCUUCAGCUUAACUGGAGAACUGCCAUUGAUACUGUUAGUCUUGAGUACGGUCAAGGUAGGCGGAAUGUGUAAUGUAGCGGUGAAAUGCUUAGAUAUUACACAGAACACCGAUGGCGAAGGCAGCUUACUGGGCCAUUACUGACGCUGAUGCACGAAAGCGUGGGGAGCAAACAGGAUUAGAUACCCUGGUAGUC